GGCAAGAUGGCCGAGCGGUCUAAGGCGCUGUGUUCAGGAUCUUCUUGAGUAUCGCAGUCCGAAAGGGCGUGGGUUCGAAUCCCACUCUUGUCA
Pseudoneurospora amorphoporcata is the source of this 93-nucleotide non-coding RNA. The record is from the annotation of a GenBank genome assembly. Lineage: Eukaryota; Fungi; Ascomycota; Sordariomycetes; Sordariales; Sordariaceae.